ACCUCGGAUCAGGUAGGGAUACCCGCUGAACUUAAGCAUAUCAAUAAGGCGGAGGAAA
This 58-nucleotide ribosomal RNA is filed under the name Monascus floridanus. RNAcentral's name for it is "partial 28S ribosomal RNA". The record is from RNAcentral. Lineage: Eukaryota; Fungi; Ascomycota; Eurotiomycetes; Eurotiales; Aspergillaceae.